AUUCCUGUUUCCGCCCCUCGACAGGUUUAUUUUCAAGGCUAUUCCGGCGCCGGAGCAUCUUGCUGAACUUCACCGGGGCCCGGCCAUCCUGCGGAGCAGCAAGUCGCUGAUGCAAGGUGCAGGUGGAGUGUCAUGUGUUGGAUUGCAAUCGUGAAAUCAGUGCAGAGGCGCAGUCAAGUAGUGUGAGUGGUCAGCCUCUCCGCUCUCCUUUGAUCAGCUGGACGUCCGGCACAUGGCACUGAACAGCUCCUGACUAUUGGCUGCGCUGAAUCAACCCAUCACACCAACAGCAAUUACAGCACCAGGACCUGCCUGCCCAGGCACCCAUAGCCCAGCACCACAGCCUGCGUUCCUCAGUCUCUGACCUCAGCACAGCUCUCCCUCUGCCCAGGCUGUGAGGCCCUGCAGAACCCCUCCCUCCCUCCCUCUCCUCGCCCCCUCUCCUCCCCCACACUGAGU
Long non-coding RNA from Sardina pilchardus (European sardine), 459 nucleotides. RefSeq lists it as uncharacterized. The record is from RefSeq and is a predicted model, not a curated record. Lineage: Eukaryota; Metazoa; Chordata; Actinopteri; Clupeiformes; Clupeidae. The transcript has 3 exons.